AUUGUGGCUCCAUGGUAGAGCGCUUGCCUCACAUGCGUGAGGCAUUGGGUUCGAUUCUCAGCACCAUA
This 68-nucleotide transfer RNA is filed under the name Marmota monax (woodchuck). RNAcentral describes it as "tRNA.Val". Lineage: Eukaryota; Metazoa; Chordata; Mammalia; Rodentia; Sciuridae. The record is from RNAcentral.